RNAcentral lists this ribosomal RNA (607 nucleotides) under Calothrix sp. CALU 1281. Its description in RNAcentral is "bacterial SSU rRNA". It matches the Rfam family "Bacterial small subunit ribosomal RNA", at positions 146 to 788 of the family's 1533-position model. The record is from RNAcentral. Lineage: Bacteria; Bacillati; Cyanobacteriota; Cyanophyceae; Nostocales; Calotrichaceae.
ACCAUUGGAAACGGUGGCUAAUACUGGAUGUGCCGGGAGGUAAAAGGCUUGCUGCCUAGAGAAGAGCUUGCGUCAGAUUAGCUAGUAGGUGUGGUAAGAGCGCACCUAGGCGACGAUCUGUAGCUGGUCUGAGAGGACGAUCAGCCACACUGGAACUGAGACACGGUCCAGACUCCUACGGGAGGCAGCAGUGGGGAAUUUUCCGCAAUGGGCGAAAGCCUGACGGAGCAAUACCGCGUGAGGGAGGAAGGCUCUUGGGUUGUAAACCUCUUUUCUCUAGGAAGAUAAUGACGGUACUAGAGGAAUAAGCAUCGGCUAACUCCGUGCCAGCAGCCGCGGUAAUACGGAGGAUGCAAGCGUUAUCCGGAAUGAUUGGGCGUAAAGCGUCCGCAGGUGGUUUUAAAAGUCUGUUGUUAAAGCGUGAGGCUUAACCUCAUAAGGGCAAUGGAAACUAUAAGACUAGAGUACGUUCGGGGCAAGGGGAAUCCCCAGUGUAGCGGUGAAAUGCGUAGAGAUUGGGAAGAACACCGGUGGCGAAAGCGCCUGGCUAGGCCGUAACUGACACUGAGGGACGAAAGCUAGGGGAGCGAAUGGGAUUAGAUACCCC